This is a long non-coding RNA of Prinia subflava (tawny-flanked prinia), 4127 nucleotides long. RefSeq lists it as uncharacterized. Lineage: Eukaryota; Metazoa; Chordata; Aves; Passeriformes; Cisticolidae. The transcript has 3 exons. The record is from RefSeq and is a predicted model, not a curated record.
GUCCCGACCGCUCCCCCAUCCCCCAUCCCCCUGGGUUUUCCUUUCGGGGGACUCUAGUUUCCUGUUGAACUGAGGCGGGCCAGCCGCGGGGACAUGCAGCUGCUUGGCAUUUGCUCUGGAAGGGGAAUGGACUUGCUUGCGAGUUCCUGCAGUGACCGGUCCAGCAGAGCCCCAGAUCCCUGCAACUUUCCUGGAGUGAGGAACGGCUCCAAGCUUUGCAGCAAAGCUUCUUCCUUAUAUAAUUUGUGGAUUCCCACAGCCUGUGCUGCCUGUUUAGAAAAGAUAAUGGAAGAGACACUGCUUUGAAGGGGAAAGACAUUAAGAAGAAGGUGAGUUUUCUUAUUGCACACUGCAGGAAAAUGGAACACGUGGCAGAGGCCCUGAUUUUUAUGUGAAUGUCUGACACAACUUGCUCUAGACUUCAAACUCCAGGUUGGCACAAAGCAGCACACACGUUUUCCAAUCCAGACAGACUAGAACACUUUUUUGCACCAACAUUAAGAAUUUUAUAACUAUUCAAAAUCAGCACCAAUUAUUGGAUUAAUAUUUUAAUAAUUACACAGUUUUUACAUUAUGAAAAUAAAUCAUAAAUAGUGUAAAAAUAAUUCUGAAGAUCAGCUUCUCACAAACAAGAAACAAAACCUGAAGUACAAAACUGAAAGAAAACAAAAUAAUAUUCAACUGAAAAACAAGGAGAAAUUUUAAUAAUAAAAACAAAAGCAUGCUGUUUGAUCAGGUUCAAUUAAGUCAAGACCACUGGCCACAAGAAAGUGGUAAAUAAUAACAAAUUAAAAUGUGUGAUUAAAACCUUGCAAUUCUUUACAUUACUCAUCAAAAGAGGUCUUGUGACAUAUUUACAGUGCUAAGACACUCAAAAUAUUCCUAGUAUUGAUAAUAUGAUGCUGACCCAUGUAUUUUUUCCCCCAAGCAUUGACAUCCUUGCCAAAUUACUUUCUAUUUUUAUCUCUUCUACUUCAUUUAUGAGACCAUUUGCAAUACAAAAAUAACGGCACAUAUAGAUGAACUUAAAAAAGUUAAAAAUACAAAUAAAAAUAUAUAAUAUUUUCCAAAGGAAAAAGUUAGAUACAUACAUCUUAGCAACAUUUUUAAACUUGUGUGAUAUUUUCCCAAACAUGUACAAUAAUAUAAGAAUAUCCACAUAUAUGUUAACAAUAUGUAAAACAUUCUUCCACCAACCCAACUCUCCAUAAUACUUCAGAGAAGUGUGCAAGUACCAAUGGGAUCAGGGAAAUUAAUACAAUUUCUUUUUUAAAUAGAAACAAGUAAAACACUAACGGUCCCAGGUUAAGGCCCCCCGCUUUCAAAGAAAAUUCAAUUUCCAAGCAGCAUUGAUAAUUGGAUGCAUUUAAAAACAAAAUGAAACAAAAACAACACUCCAAAUCCCUUUUAAAAUACAAACUCCACUUGUUCUGUGGAGUAUCUUUUUCAGAAAUGAUGGUGGCAGGCAUUUGUUUCUAACUGCAUGUAAUGAAUCCAACCACCACAUAAAAUACUUUAAUAACAGAGGGUCCAAGAAAACCUUCAUUUGUACAUUACAGCAACAUUGACAUCCAUAAAAACAAAUUGCAGAAAAGAAAAAAAAAAAUCCAUGUUAGUUUUAAUUCCAGUCACUGAAAUAGAAUUUUUGCAAUGACUACAAAUUAGACUUUCUUUUAACCACUAUCUUUGAAGAUGUGUUUUGUGUGAGUCUUUAGUGGGAAAAUUUAGGAAUCUCAUUAGGUAAAAUACAGAGAUUUAAAGAUGUAAUUUAAGAUGGUCAAGCAGCAGAGAUCAGGAAAUUUGAAGGGAAGGGUCAACUUCUGCAUGCCUUGAACCUCUUCAUCACUUUCAAUAAACAGGCUGACAAUAUCUCUGCAGUUCUUACUGAAGUAAUCCUGAUUUAAGCAAAACCCCACUGCUGAACGUGGUAAUAUUCCCCUUGUUACAAAGCAUGACACCUGGGUCCUUCCUCCUGCAUGUCUUAAAGAGCUUUGCAAGGAGAGGAUGCAUCUCUGUCCCCUGGUCCUUGCUGGGGAUGGGGAGGCACAGCCAGGGGAGGAGCCUUGCAUGGCUGAGCCAGGUUUACGAUCCCAGUUCUGGGGUGGUCAGUGAGACAACUCUCUCCACACCCCAUGGGGAUCCAGGAUCCCAGCCACAUGUCCUGGCACAGCCCCCAGCCUUACAAGCACCACCCUCCCAUGAGGACCAAAUGUCUGCUGAUCUCAUUUGGGGUUGCUUUGUCUCUCUGGUGGCAUAACCAAGUAACUGGUGGUCAUACGCACCCUGUCCAUGGGUGCGAUGCCCAGUGAAGCCAAUGCUAACUUCCCACACUGUACAUCAAUCUUAAGAAUUAUUACUUUUCCAACUCUAUACUUUACACAUGUGCAGAUAUAUGGAUUUGAUCAUUCUGAAACUCAUUCAUACUAAUUCCACCACAGACUAAAAGAACAGCUGGAUGAAGAGUAUCAUUCUGCUUUGCUACACUAUCAGAAUAUGACAUCACAACCAGCAAUAAAUAAAAAUAUAAAUCAAAAAAUACAUUGCAUCAUUGCUCUUUGAUUUAACAUUUCAUUCUCUACCUCAGGGAAAAAAAAUUGUCCAAAGCAUCCUGAAAGAAAGCUUUCCCAUAGUUAGUCUAUGAAUAUGAAGACAAGGACCAUGUAUGUCAGACAUAUUCUAUACAGCACUUAAAAGAUUUGUGGCCUCUGUGGCAGGACUUCUGCACAAUGUGGUUUUAAUGCACUAGAGUAACAGAUAAUUACAAAACUUCAUAUGAAACAAAAACUGAAAACUCUCAAAGAAACAAGGAUUAAUCAUACCUGAAAAAGUCAGGGAUACAGAAACUGGGUAGACUAAUACCACUACACAUUUCUACAACUGAAAAGACUGGUAGAGGAACUACUGUUCCUGUCACAAACUACACAAAAUAAAUCAUAUCUAUCUGGAGGAAUGACACUAAAAGAUACAACAACACACUGGCAGUUCAAACUGUAGCUUUCCCAUCAAAAGGAAAAAGAUAUAAUGGCACCAGAAAUAGUUGCUUCUUGAACAAAAUAAACACAUUGCAAGUCUUCACAGGGUGCUUUUCUUGAUGAAAUAUUAAAUCAAAUAAUUUUUUUCUUGUACUGACCAUGCAACUUUUCUAGAUAUGGUUAAGUUUCAUUUCAAUUCAAUCUGAUAUGCAAAUAUUAAUGCCAAAUCUAUGUAUGUAGUUAAACCUUUCAAAUUAAAUUGUUUAUCUAUUGCUCACUCAUGGACAUUUAAAAGGAAUGAACAUUUCAUGAUACUGAACAACACAAAGACUAAAAAAGCCAAGUAACAUAAUUUGGAAAAAAAAAAGUAUUCCUACCUGCUGGGAAUUUAAUAAAGAAAUUAAUUUACAAGACAGAAAAGAAAGCAAAUGAAGGUGCUUAAGUGUUUCUUCAGUAGGGUCUCAGUGUUGGGGAGUCAAAGAAUUGAGUUUUGACUAAUAUUUAACAGUAGUGUCUAUAACUAUUUCCUGAAUGACAAAAUCAUGGAUCAAAGCUCUGCUAGCUUAACUGGUGCAUAUAGAAAUGGAUGCUAGGAGGGCAGUUAAAAAAUACAGGUACACAAAUUUAAAAUAGGAAAAAGGAAGUGCUUAUGACAUCAUUAUUUAUCUUGUUCCUAUUCCUUAAAUGAGUCGUUUGUGGACAGUCUCAAUAUUGUGUUGCUAAAUCAUCUAGCCAGAUAAUAAACAUCCUACUUGAUUUUGCAUGUAAAUACUCUGAAGGAGGUUUAAAAAAUAUUUCAUCUAACUGUAUUGAUUGCCAGUAUUCGAUAUAAUAAAAAACAUUCAGCUUCUAGUCUCCCCAUCUAGCACAUACCCGGCUGUAGAAUUGCAUUUUAUUGAAAUGGUAUGCUCUGGCUCACCCCUGGAAAGUGUAUGGUUUAUCCCAAGUCUGUAACCUCCCCUGCAGUAUCGUGUGUCUGUAAACCCAUUGGCCUGAAGAUCUGUCUGCGCCCAUUUUGACACUCCCUGAUAAAGGUGCAAAAGGAGAGGGCCCUCUUUGCCCUGGAGGCCUCCGGAGGCUCUGCUCCUCUCCCCUUGCCUCACCCCUUCCCCCUCCCCUUCCCCCUCCCCUUGCCCCUCUCCACCUCCUCUCCCC